This is a long non-coding RNA of Symphalangus syndactylus (siamang), 128 nucleotides long. RefSeq lists it as uncharacterized. Lineage: Eukaryota; Metazoa; Chordata; Mammalia; Primates; Hylobatidae. The record is from RefSeq and is a predicted model, not a curated record.
UUUAAAAUAAACGUUCAGGUUAUUUUUAAAGAAAAGCAUCAAUAAAUAAAUUUUCUUAAUCAGCUAAAGACCGGAUUUGUUGAAUUCCUCAAACUUACAAGAAUAUUCAUUUCAGGCUGAAUGUGAAG